This 847-nucleotide ribosomal RNA is filed under the name uncultured bacterium. RNAcentral describes it as "bacterial SSU rRNA". It matches the Rfam family "Bacterial small subunit ribosomal RNA", at positions 31 to 893 of the family's 1533-position model. The record is from RNAcentral.
GAACGCUGGCGGCGUGCCUAACACAUGCAAGUCGAACGAAGAGGCUCCUUCGGGAGUACUUCAGUGGCGGACGGGUGAGUAACACGUAGGUGACCUACCCCAAAGCGGGGGAUAACAGUCCGAAAGGAUUGCUAAUACCCCAUGUGGUCGGCGAGGUUAGAGUCUUGUCGACUAAAGGAGCAAUCCGCUUUGGGAGGGGCCUGCGCCCCAUCAGCUAGUUGGUAGGGUAAUGGCCUACCAAGGCAACAACGGGUAGGGGGCCUGAGAGGGUGACCCCCCACAUUGGCACUGACACACGGGCCAAACUCCUACGGGAGGCAGCAGUGAGGAAUAUUGCUCAAUGGGCGAAAGCCUGAAGCAGCAACGCCGCGUGCGCGAUGAAGGCCUUCGGGUCGUAAAGCGCUUUUGAGAGGGACGAGACAGGACGGUACCUCUUGAAUAAGUCACGGCUAACUACGUGCCAGCAGCCGCGGUAAAACGUAGGUGGCAAGCGUUAUCCGGAUUCACUGGGCGUAAAGCGCGUGCAGGUGGCUCUGUAAGUUGGAUGUGAAAUUUCCCGGCUUAACCGGGAAGGGUCAUUCAAUACUGCGGGGCUUGAGGGCAGAAGAGGGGGGUGGAAUUGCCGGUGUAGUGGUGAAAUGCGUAGAUAUCGGCAGGAACACCUGUGGCGAAAGCGGCCCCCUGGUCUGCUCCUGACACUCAGACGCGAAAGCUAGGGGAGCGAACGGGAUUAGAAACCCCGGUAGUCCUAGCCGUAAACGAUGGAUGCUAGGUGUAGGUGGUAUUGACCCCAUCUGUGCCGAAGCCAACGCGUUAAGCAUCCCGCCUGGGGACUACGGCCGCAAGG